UUAUGGUCUAUAUUCUUUAAAAUAUCUUUUUGACAACAAAUUUCAGUAAAUAUGAUGCCACACUAUAAUAAUCUAAAAACGUGUUUGGAAAAAUAAUGAAAAAACAGUUCAAUAUCUUCAGAAUGGGGCGACAGAGGACGAUCGACCUCGAAAUUUUCCGGUACUAAGUGGCAAGUUUUGGAGUAUUACACAAAAUCUUGUAUUAAUUUUGUACUUAUCGGCUUAAUAAUUUAAAGAAUUAUAUAUCAGAAAAUCAAUUCUUAAGCGGCAUCCUCAUCAAAUGAGUAGAAAUGCUUUAAAUUGGAUGAAUUCUUAACUUGUUUACUUUUUUUUCUAUUUCUCUCCGCUUCGUUAGUACCCAAUUUCCGGUGGCGAUGAUACACAGUGAGUC
This 391-nucleotide long non-coding RNA is filed under the name Mytilus galloprovincialis (Mediterranean mussel). The record is from RNAcentral. Lineage: Eukaryota; Metazoa; Mollusca; Bivalvia; Mytilida; Mytilidae.